GACGAACGCUGGCGGCGUGCCUAAUACAUGCAAGUAGAACGCUGAAGGAGGAGCUUGCUUCUCCGGAUGAGUUGCGAACGGGUGAGUAACGCGUAGGUAACCUGCCUGGUAGCGGGGGAUAACUCUUGGAAACGAUAGCUAAUACCGCAUAAGAGUAGAUGUCGCAUGACAUUUGCUUAAAAGGUACAACUGCACCACUACCAGAUGGACCUGCGUUGUAUUAGCUAGUUGGUGAAGGAACGGCUCCCCAAGGCAACGAUACAUAGCCCACCUGCGAGGGUGAACGGCCACACUGGGACUGGGAAACGGCCCAGACUCCUAAGGGAGGGAGCAGUAGGGAAACUUUGGGAAAGGGCGGAAGGCUGAACGAGCAACGCCGGGGGAGUGAAGAAGGGUUUCGGAUCGGAAAGCUCCGUUGUAAGAGAAGAAAGAGAGGGGGAGGGGAAAGUGCACGCUGUGACGGUACCUAACCAGAAAGCGACGGCUAACUACGUG
Molecule: ribosomal RNA, 495 nt
Filed under: uncultured bacterium
Lineage: Bacteria
Description: partial 16S ribosomal RNA
Rfam family: Bacterial small subunit ribosomal RNA
Source: RNAcentral